CCCUUAGAUGUUCUGGGCCGCACGCGCGCUACACUGACGAAGUCAGCGAGCAUGUCCUACGCCGACAGGUGCGGGGAAUCUUGUCAAACUUCGUCGUGAUGGGGAUUGAUUAUUGAAAUUCUUGAUCAUCAACGAGGAAUUCCUAGUAAGCGCAAGUCAGCAGCUUGCGUUGAUUACGUCCCUGCCCUUUGUACACACCGCCCGUCGCUACUACCGAUUGAAUGGUUUAGUGAGAUCUUCGGAUUGGCGCCACUGCGGCUCAGCAAUGGGCUCGGUGGAUGCCGAAAAGUUGAUCAAACUUGAUCGUUUAGAGGAAGUAAAAGUCGUAACA
Molecule: ribosomal RNA, 331 nt
Filed under: uncultured eukaryote
Lineage: Eukaryota
Description: partial 18S ribosomal RNA
Rfam family: Eukaryotic small subunit ribosomal RNA
Source: RNAcentral